This 468-nucleotide ribosomal RNA is filed under the name uncultured bacterium. Its description in RNAcentral is "partial 16S ribosomal RNA". It matches the Rfam family "Bacterial small subunit ribosomal RNA", at positions 28 to 507 of the family's 1533-position model. The record is from RNAcentral.
GACGAACGCUGGCGGCGUGCUUAACACAUGCAAGUCGGACGGAAAGGCCCUGCUUUUGUGGGGUGCUCGAGUGGCGAACGGGUGAGUAACACGUGAGUAACCUGCCCUUGACUUUGGGAUAACUUCAGGAAACUGGGGCUAAUACCGGAUAGGAGCUCCUGCUGCAUGGUGGGGGUUGGAAAGUUUCGGCGGUUGGGGAUGGACUCGCGGCUUAUCAGCUUGUUGGUGGGGUAGUGGCUUACCAAGGCUUUGACGGGUAGCCGGCCUGAGAGGGUGACCGGCCACAUUGGGACUGAGAUACGGCCCAGACUCCUACGGGAGGCAGCAGGGGGGAAUAUUGCACAAUGGGCGGAAGCCUGAUGCAGCAACGCCGCGUGCGGGAUGACGGCCUUCGGGUUGUAAACCGCUUUCGCCUGUGACGAAGCGUGAGUGACGGUAAUGGGUAAAGAAGCACCGGCUAACUACGUG